RNAcentral lists this ribosomal RNA (468 nucleotides) under uncultured bacterium. Its description in RNAcentral is "partial 16S ribosomal RNA". It matches the Rfam family "Bacterial small subunit ribosomal RNA", at positions 28 to 507 of the family's 1533-position model. The record is from RNAcentral.
GACGAACGCUGGCGGCGUGCUUAACACAUGCAAGUCGAACGGAAAGGCCCUGUCUUUUUGGGGUCCGCGAGUGGCGAACGGGUGAGUAACACGUGAGUACCCUGCCCUUCACUUCGGGAUAAGCUCAGGAAACUGGGGCUAAUACCGGAUAGGAUCUCUUGCUGCAUGAUGGGGGUUGGUAAGUUUCGGCGGUUGGGGAUGGACUCGCCGCUUAUCAGCGUGGUGGUGGGGUAGUGGCUUACCAAGGUUUAGACGGGUAGCCGGCCUGAGAGGGGGACCAGCCACAUUGGGACUGAGAUAGGGACCAGACUCCUACGGGUGGCAGCGGUAGGAAAUGGUAAACAAUGGGCGGGAGCCUGAUCCAGCGACGCCGCGUGCGGGAUGACGGCCUACGGGUUGUAAACCGCUUUCGCUUGUACCGAAGAGGAAGUGACGGUAACGGGUAAAAAAGCACCGGCUAACUACGUG